GCCACCAUCUCCUCUUUAGUAUUGGGGUUAAACUCAGGGCCUCACACAUUCUGCAAAUGUUGUACAACAAGACUUAUCCCAGCCCAGUUCAAUGUUCUAAAGUGUGAGGAGUCUUUGAAUUGAAAGGUAUAUAGUCAGCAGACACAUGAAAGAUUUCAAUAUAAUGUAACCAUCAGAAAAAUGUUACUGAAAGCCAUUAUCGUACAUUCUAGAAUGUAUGAUUCACACAUUCCAGAAUGGCUUUAGUCAACAAUCUAAUGGCAUGUUAGUCAGGGUGCAGAGAAAUCAGGAUCUACAUACACCAUUCAUAGGACUGGGACAGCCACCAAGUGACCUUUGGAAGGAGAAGAACUUUCUAGAAUCAAAACAGAGAACUGGCAUAUGUCCUGCUGAUUUUAUGUCAACUUGAUACAAGCUAGAGUCAUCAUGGAGGAAGGAGCCUCAACUAAGAAGAUCCCUCCAAAAGAUCCAACUCUAAGGUUUUUUCUUAAUUAGAGGUCAGUGAGGAAGGUCCUAGCCCAUUACGGGUGGUGCCAUUCCUAGGCUCUUGUCCUGUGUUCUAUAAGAAAGGAGGCUGAGCAAGGCGGGGGAUGCAAGGCAGUAGCACUUCUCCAUGACCUCUGCAUCAGCUCCUGCCUCCAGAUCCCUGCCAUGCCUGAAUUCCUGUCCUGACUUCCUUUGGUGAUGAACGGCAACCUGGAAGUCUUCUCCAAAGCAGAGGUUUGGAGAGAAGAGUGUCAUCGUUUGCCAUUCUCUCAAAUCUCCGAGUCCCAUGGGACACAACACUCACUUGCUCAGAGGUGAAACCUAUAAGCUUCUGAAGUCAACUCCGGCCCUGUAAGAAGUCCUCCAGCUGGAAACAAGAAGCAAUACUCUAAUUCCCUGAAUGACUUUCUCCCUGGACCAGGACCACCAGCAAGACAAGUUCUAAUCACUUUAAAUAAAAUUCUGCAUUGCUUGGCACAAAA
Non-coding RNA from Rattus norvegicus (Norway rat), 968 nucleotides. The record is from RefSeq and is a predicted model, not a curated record. Lineage: Eukaryota; Metazoa; Chordata; Mammalia; Rodentia; Muridae.